Molecule: ribosomal RNA, 1269 nt
Filed under: metagenome
Description: bacterial LSU rRNA
Rfam family: Bacterial large subunit ribosomal RNA
Source: RNAcentral
UAUUCUAAGGCGCUCGGGUGACCCAUCCUUAAGGAACUCGACCAAUUGACCCCGUAACUUCGGAAGAAGGGGUGCUCCUGGUGGUCAGUGGACUUGCUCCACAAAGCUGCUGGGAGUGGCACUGAACUGGUUCAGGCGACUGUUUAAUAAAAACACAGGUCUCUGCAAAGUCGUAAGACGACGUAUAGGGACUGACGCCUGCCCAAUGCUGGAAGGUUAACGGGAGAGGUUAGCGCAAGCGAAGCCUUGAACCGAAGCCCCAGUUAAUGGCGGCCGUAACUAUAACGGUCCUAAGGUAGCGAAAUUCCUUGUCGGGUAAGUUCCGACCUGCACGAAUGGCGUAACGAUCUGAACAUUGUCUCAAGGAUGGGCCCGGUGAAGUUGUAAUACCAGUGAAGAUGCUGGUUACCCACAAUAGGACGGAAAGACCCCGUGCACCUUUACUAUAGCUUGGUAUUGGGUUUAGUUGUAAUUUGUAUAGGAUAGGUGGGAGGCUAUGAAGCUGGCGCGUCAGCGUCGGUGGAGCCAACCUUGGAAUACCACCCUGAUUAUUACUGAAUCCUAACCUCGAUCCCGUGAAUCCGGGCGAGGAACAGUGCCUGGUGGGUAGUUUGACUGGGGCGGUCGCCUCCCAAAGAGUAACGGAGGCGCCCCAAGGUUCCCUCAGCACGUUUGGAAAUCGUGCGCAGAGUGUAAUGGCAUAAGGGAGCUUAACUGCGAGACCAACAAGUCGAGCAGGUACGAAAGUAGGGCAUAGUGAUCCAGCGGUACCAUAUGGAAGGGCCGUUGCUCAUCGGAUAAAAGGUACGCCGGGGAUAACAGGCUUAUCUCCCCCAAGAGUUCAUAUCGACGGGGAGGUUUGGCACCUCGAUGUCGGCUCGUCACAUCCUGGGGCUGUAGCAGGUCCCAAGGGUUCGUCUGUUCGCCGAUUAAAGUGGCACGCGAGCUGGGUUUAAAACGUCGUGAGACAGUUUGGUCCCUAUCCAUUGCGGGCGUAGGAGAUUUGAGGGUAGUUGCCCCUUACGAGAGGACCGGGGUGAACGAACCUAUGGUGAUCCGGUUGUCACGCCAGUGGCAUCGCCGGGUAGCUAUGUUCGGACGGGAUAAGCGCUGAAAGCAUCUAAGCACGAAGCCCCACUCAAGAUAAGAUCUCCCCUGAGCACAAGCUCACUAAAGAGUCCUGGAAGACUACCAGGUUGAUAGGCUGGAGGUGUAAGCGUAGCAAUACGUUCAGCUGACCAGUACUAAUCGCUCGUGAGGCUUGGUCAU